RNAcentral lists this ribosomal RNA (467 nucleotides) under uncultured bacterium. Its description in RNAcentral is "partial 16S ribosomal RNA". It matches the Rfam family "Bacterial small subunit ribosomal RNA", at positions 28 to 506 of the family's 1533-position model. The record is from RNAcentral.
GACGAACGCUGGCGGCGUGCUUAACACAUGCAAGUCGAACGGAAAGGCCCUGCUUUUGUGGGGUGCUCGAGUGGCGAACGGGUGAGUAACACGUGAGUAACCUGCCCUUGACUUUGGGAUAACUUCAGGAAACUGGGGCUAAUACCGGAUAGGAGCUCCUGCUGCAUGGUGGGGGUUGGAAAGUUUCGGCGGGUGGGGAUGGACUCGCGGCUUAUCAGCUUGUUGGUGGGGUAGUGGCUUACCAAGGCUUUGACGGGUAGCCGACCUGAGAGGGUGACAGGUCACAUUGGUACGUAGAUACGGCCCAGGUUACUACGGGAGGCAGUAGUGGGGAACCUUGCACAAUGGGCGGAAGCCGGAUGCAGCAACGCCGGGUGGGGGAUGACGGCCUUCGGGUGGUAACCCGAUUUCGCAUGUGACGAAGCGUGAGGAACGAGAAUGGGUAAAGAAGCACCGGCGAAAUACGC